UUUUCAUACUAUUGUAUCUAUUUCUAUAGAAAUAACUGAAAAUGUGUGUGUUUUUUAACCUUUAAUAUUUGUAGUAGAUACACAAUAGACAUCACCAACCUUAUAACUAGGUCAGUUCUCUCUGUGGCCUGAAUGUGUGAAUUAUUUUUGGUUUAUAUAUUGCAUAGUUUAAAAAAAUAUUUUUCAGAAAAUUUAAUACCUUAACAUUUUUUAUUUAAAGUUUAAUACUCAAUAUUUCCUGAGACUUGGAUACCUUUCUUUUAUUUUUUGUGGUACUGGGGGUUGAACCCAGGGCCUCAUACAUGCUAGGCAAGGAAGUGACCACCAUACUAUAUUCCCAGUCCAGAAUUGUACACCUUUCUAAUUAAUCUAGAAUUUGAAAUGGAGGAAAAUUUUGUGAAACACAGAGUUUUAACUUUUGUCAGUAUUAUUUAUAGCUUAUAAUAUAUAAUGAAAAAUUGGAUAUUAGCAAUUCAUCAGUGAGUUGAGGUCAUAAGUUUUAAUUAUCUUGUGUAUUGUUUAAGAAGCAAAUUAAUAUGUAUUUCCAGAAUCCUUUGUCUAGCAUAUCUUA
This 571-nucleotide long non-coding RNA is filed under the name Marmota monax (woodchuck). The record is from RNAcentral. Lineage: Eukaryota; Metazoa; Chordata; Mammalia; Rodentia; Sciuridae.